Molecule: ribosomal RNA, 541 nt
Filed under: Bifidobacterium dentium
Lineage: Bacteria; Bacillati; Actinomycetota; Actinomycetes; Bifidobacteriales; Bifidobacteriaceae
Description: bacterial SSU rRNA
Rfam family: Bacterial small subunit ribosomal RNA
Source: RNAcentral
UGGUAAUGCCGGAUGCUCCGGUUGGAUGCAUGUCCUUCCGGGAAAGGUUCCAUCGGUAUGGGAUGGGGUCGCGUCCUAUCAGCUUGAUGGCGGGGUAACGGCCCACCAUGGCUUCGACGGGUAGCCGGCCUGAGAGGGCGACCGGCCACAUUGGGACUGAGAUACGGCCCAGACUCCUACGGGAGGCAGCAGUGGGGAAUAUUGCACAAUGGGCGCAAGCCUGAUGCAGCGACGCCGCGUGCGGGAUGGAGGCCUUCGGGUUGUAAACCGCUUUUGAUCGGGAGCAAGCCCUUCGGGGUGAGUGUACCUUUCGAAUAAGCACCGGCUAACUACGUGCCAGCAGCCGCGGUAAUACGUAGGGUGCAAGCGUUAUCCGGAAUUAUUGGGCGUAAAGGGCUCGUAGGCGGUUCGUCGCGUCCGGUGUGAAAGCCCAUCGCUUAACGGUGGGUCUGCGCCGGGUACGGGCGGGCUGGAGUGCGGUAGGGGAGACUGGAAUUCCCGGUGUAACGGUGGAAUGUGUAGAUAUCGGAAAAAAACACCA